AUUGAACGCUGGCGGCAUGCCUUACACAUGCAAGUCGAACGGUAACAGGUCUUCGGAUGCUGACGAGUGGCGAGUGGGUGAGUAAUACAUCGGAACGUGCCUAGUAGUGGGGGAUAACUACUCGAAAGAGUGGCUAAUACCGCAUGAGAUCUACGGAUGAAAGCAGGGGAUCGCAAGACCUUGUGCUACUAGAGCGGCCGAUGGCAGAUUAGGUAGUUGGUGGGAUAAAAGCUUACCAAGCCGACGAUCUGUAGCGGGUCUGAGAGGACGAUCAGCCACACUGGGACUGAGACACGGCCCAGACUCCUACGGGAGGCAGAAGUGGGGAAUUUUGGACAAUGGGCGCAAGCCUGAUCCAGCAAUGCCGCGUGCAGGAUGAAGGCCUUCGGGUUGUAAACUGCUUCUGUACGGAACGAAAAGCCCCGGGUUAAUACCCUGGGGUCAUGACGGUACCGUAAGAAUAAGCACCGGCUAACUACGUGCCAGCCGCCGCAGUAA
Molecule: ribosomal RNA, 498 nt
Filed under: uncultured bacterium
Lineage: Bacteria
Description: partial 16S ribosomal RNA
Rfam family: Bacterial small subunit ribosomal RNA
Source: RNAcentral